AACGCGAAGAACCUUACCUACUCUUGACAUCCAUGGAAGCUGACAGAAAUGUUGGUGUGCCUUCGGGAACCAUGAGACAGGUGCUGCAUGGCUGUCGUCAGCUCGUGUCGUGAGAUGUUGGGUUAAGUCCCGUAACGAGCGCAACCCUUAUCCUUAGUUGCCAUCGGGUAAAGCUGGGAACUCUAGGGAGACUGCCGGUGACAAGCCGGAGGAAGGUGGGGACGACGUCAAGUCAUCAUGGCCCUUACGAGUAGGGCUACACGCGUGUUACAAUGGACGGUACAAAGGGCAGCGAAGCCGCGAGGUGGAGCGAAUCUUAGAAAGCCGUUCGUAGUCCGGAUUGGAGUCUGCAACUCGACUCCAUGAAGUUGGAAUCGCUAGUAAUCGUGGAUCAGAACGCCACGGUGAAUACGUUCCCGGGCCUUGUACACACCGCACUACUA
RNAcentral lists this ribosomal RNA (443 nucleotides) under uncultured bacterium. RNAcentral describes it as "bacterial SSU rRNA". It matches the Rfam family "Bacterial small subunit ribosomal RNA", at positions 958 to 1400 of the family's 1533-position model. The record is from RNAcentral.